GGACAGGUGGCCGAGUGGUCUAUGGCGCCCGCUUGGAAAGCGUGUUUACGGGAAACCGUAACGUGGGUUCGAAUCCCACCCUGUCCGCCA
Molecule: transfer RNA, 90 nt
Filed under: Pseudomonadota bacterium
Lineage: Bacteria; Pseudomonadati; Pseudomonadota
Description: tRNA-Ser
Rfam family: tRNA
About the family: Transfer RNA (tRNA) molecules are approximately 80 nucleotides in length.
Source: RNAcentral